AGGAUGAACGCUGGCGGCGUGCCUAAUACAUGCAAGUCGAACGAGGUCUUCGGACCGAGUGGCGAACGGGUGAGUAACACGUUGGUACCUACCCCGAAGUGGGGAAUAACUGCCCGAAAGGGUGGCUAAUACCGCAUAAUACCGCAAGGUUAAAGCAGUAAUGCGCUUCGGGAGGGGCCUGCGUCCCAUUAGCUAGUUGGUAGGGUAAUGGCCUACCAAGGCGACGAUGGGUAGCUGGAUCGAGAGGUUGACCAGCCACACUGGGACUGAGAUACGGCCCAGACUCCUACGGGAGGCAGCAGUAAGGAAUCUUCCACAAUGGACGAAAGUCUGAUGGAGCAACGGCCGCGUGCGGGAUGACGGCCUUCGGGUUGUAAACUGCUUUUAUAUGGGAAGAUUAUGACGGUACCAUAUGAAUAAGGACCGGCUAACUACGCGCCAGCAGCCGC
Molecule: ribosomal RNA, 449 nt
Filed under: uncultured bacterium
Lineage: Bacteria
Description: SSU rRNA
Rfam family: Bacterial small subunit ribosomal RNA
Source: RNAcentral